RNAcentral lists this long non-coding RNA (786 nucleotides) under Monodelphis domestica (gray short-tailed opossum). RNAcentral's name for it is "lncRNA (ENSMODG00000032430.2)". Lineage: Eukaryota; Metazoa; Chordata; Mammalia; Didelphimorphia; Didelphidae. The record is from RNAcentral.
GAAAGCAAGAAGCUUGAACAGUACAGAGAUUAAAGAAAAAGACCAUUUGUAACUCAUCAGGACUUCUGACACAUAACUUAUCAGCUGGAAAAAACUAUGAAGAAGGAAGAGAGAGAAACUUGACACAAUAAGGAAGACAAGAUGGAAUUAAAAUAAUGAGACCAUCUAAGAGGAAUCUAGAUAGAGUUUCCAAGAUUCUAGAGAUUGGACAAAAAAAAGUGAAAAUAUUCCAGAAAGAGACCAUACUUCCUGAGAAGACAAGAAAACUUUUUGUGAGUAAAGAUAGAAUAAAUCCUAUGGCCUGUAUACAAUCACAGAAGUGGAGGCACUCAAAAUACUGUCAAGUUGGCGGAAGUGAAAAUAUUUCCUUGGGAAGUGAUCACCAUCUUCAAGGAGUGAAUGAAAAGAUAUCCGUGAACAAGUUCAUAUCUGAGAAGAAAAGACAAUUACUGAUCUUCUUCUGGGUGAAGUAGAUCUGAUUGUAUUUUUAGCAACAAAAAAAGUCCUUUGUAAUUAACACAAGAUCCUUUCAUCUCCAUCUUCUCCAAUGAAAUUUGAACAACUCAAAAGACAACCCCAAGAUAACUCCUGACUCUUUCUCACGUCUGUCCAUGUCUUUUGUUAUCAACACCAAAGGGGCACAACAAAAAAUCCUAGACAUUUCUGCCUAUCCCCCUACGGGCUUCGGCUUCUGCACCAAGAAACUAAACGAUGAAACGAAAUCAACACAAAUACUUUGACUAAUUCAAGCACAAGUCACACAAUAAAGAACAAUAAAUAACAUCA